This 520-nucleotide ribosomal RNA is filed under the name uncultured bacterium. Its description in RNAcentral is "partial 16S ribosomal RNA". It matches the Rfam family "Bacterial small subunit ribosomal RNA", at positions 355 to 867 of the family's 1533-position model. The record is from RNAcentral.
UGGGGAAUUUUGGACAAUGGGCGCAAGCCUGAUCCAGCCAUGCCGCGUGCGGGAAGAAGGCCUUCGGGUUGUAAACCGCUUUUGUCAGGGAAGAAAUCUUCUGAGUUAAUACCUCGGGAGGAUGACGGUACCUGAAGAAUAAGCACCGGCUAACUACGUGCCAGCAGCCGCGGUAAUACGUAGGGUGCAAGCGUUAAUCGGAAUUACUGGGCGUAAAGCGUGCGCAGGCGGUUUUGUAAGACAGAGGUGAAAUCCCCGGGCUCAACCUGGGAACUGCCUUUGUGACUGCAAGGCUUGAGUGCGGCAGAGGGGGGAUGGAAUUCCGCGUGUAGCAGUGAAAUGCGUAGAUAUGCGGAGGAACACCGAUGGCGAAGGCAAUCCCCUGGGCCUGCACUGACGCUCACGCACGAAAGCGUGGGGAGCAAACAGGAUUAGAUACCCUGGUAGUCCACGCCCUAAACGAUGUCAACUGGUUGUUGGGAAGGUUCCUUCUCAGUAACGUAGCUAACGCGUGAAGUUG